This 406-nucleotide ribosomal RNA is filed under the name uncultured bacterium. RNAcentral describes it as "partial 16S ribosomal RNA". It matches the Rfam family "Bacterial small subunit ribosomal RNA", at positions 30 to 526 of the family's 1533-position model. The record is from RNAcentral.
AUUGAACGCUGGCGGCAGGCCUAACACAUGCAAGUCGAACGAGUGGCGGACGGGUGAGUAAUGUCUGGGAAACUGCCCGAUGGAGGGGGAUAACUACUGGAAACGGUAGCUAAUACCGCAUACCAUCGGAUGUGCCCAGAUGGGAUUAGCUAGUAGGUGGGGUAACGGCUCACCUAGGCGACGAUCCCUAGCUGGUCGUAGAGGAUGACCAGCACAACGGGAACUUAGACACGGUCCAGACUCCUACGGGAGGACGCAGUGGGGAAUAUUGCACAAUGGGCGCAAGCCUGAUGCAGCCAUGCCGCGUGUAUGAAGAAGGCCUUCGGGUUGUAAAGUACUUUCAGCGAGGAGGCGUUACUCGCAGCAGAAGCACCGGCUAACUCCGUGCCAGCAGCCGCGGUAAUUC